GACGAACGCUGGCGGCGUGCUUAACACAUGCAAGUCGAACGGAAAGGCCCUGCUUUUGUGGGGUGCUCGAGUGGCGAACGGGUGAGUAACACGUGAGUAACCUGCCCUUGACUUUGGGAUAACUUCAGGAAACUGGGGCUAAUACCGGAUAGGAGCUCCUGCUGCAUGGUGGGGGUUGGAAAGUUUCGGCGGUUGGGGAUGGACUCGCGGCUUAUCAGCUUGUUGGUGGGGUAGUGGCUUACCAAGGCUUUGACGGGUAGCCGGCCUGAGAGGGUGACCGGCCACAUGGGGACUGCGAUACGGCCCAGACUCCUACGGUAGGCAGCAGGGGAGAAUAUUGCACAAUGGGCGGAAGCCUGAUGCAGCAACGCCGCGUGCGGGAUGACGGCCUUCGGGUGGUAAACCGCUUUCGCCUGUGACGAAGCGGGAGUGACGGUAAUGGGUAAAGAAGCACCGGCUAACUACGUG
This 468-nucleotide ribosomal RNA is filed under the name uncultured bacterium. Its description in RNAcentral is "partial 16S ribosomal RNA". It matches the Rfam family "Bacterial small subunit ribosomal RNA", at positions 28 to 507 of the family's 1533-position model. The record is from RNAcentral.